UUGGAGGGCAAGUCUGGUGCCAGCAGCCGCGGUAAUUCCAGCUCCAAUAGCGUAUAUUAAAGUUGUUGCAGUUAAAAAGCUCGUAGUUGAAUUUCGGGAUUUGUCAGUUGGUCGGGCUUCAUUGUCCGUACUGACUUGAUGGAUUCCUACCUUCUGAAUAACCAGCAUGCUAUUAAGUUAGUGCGUUGGGGAAGCAGAUCUAUUACCUUGAAAAAAUUAGGGUGCUUAAAGCAGGCUAGUGCUUGAAUAGAUUAGCAUGGAAUAAUAAAAUAGGACGGCAUGGUUCUAUUUUGUUGGUUUCUAGGAUCACCGUAAUGAUUAAUAGGGAUAGUUGGGGGCAUUAGUAUUCAAUUGUCAGAGGUGAAAUUCUUGGAUUUAUUGAAGACUAACUUCUGCGAAAGCAUUUGCCAAGGAUGUUUUCAUUAAUCAAGAACGAAAGUUAGGGGAUCGAAGACGAUCAGAUACCGUCGUAGUCUUAACCAUAAACUAUGCCGACUAGGAAUCGGACGAUGUUAAUUUUUUAAUGACUCGUUCGGCACCUUACGGGAAACCAAAGUGUUUGGGUUC
Molecule: ribosomal RNA, 567 nt
Filed under: uncultured Acaulospora
Lineage: Eukaryota; Fungi; Glomeromycota; Glomeromycetes; Diversisporales; Acaulosporaceae
Description: SSU rRNA
Rfam family: Eukaryotic small subunit ribosomal RNA
Source: RNAcentral